RNAcentral lists this ribosomal RNA (253 nucleotides) under uncultured bacterium. RNAcentral's name for it is "partial 16S ribosomal RNA". It matches the Rfam family "Bacterial small subunit ribosomal RNA", at positions 524 to 776 of the family's 1533-position model. The record is from RNAcentral.
UACGUAGGGUGCGAGCGUUGUCCGGAAUUACUGGGCGUAAAGAGCUCGUAGGUGGUUUGUCGCGUUGUUCGUGAAAACCGGGGGCUUAACCCUCGGCGUGCGGGCGAUACGGGCAGACUUGAGUACUGCAGGGGAGACUGGAAUUCCUGGUGUAGCGGUGGAAUGCGCAGAUAUCAGGAGGAACACCAGUGGCGAAGGCGGCUCACUGGACCGGUACUGACGCUGAUGCGCGAAAGCGUGGGGAGCAAACGGG